Molecule: long non-coding RNA, 1514 nt
Filed under: Anser cygnoides (Swan goose)
Lineage: Eukaryota; Metazoa; Chordata; Aves; Anseriformes; Anatidae
Description: lncRNA (ENSACDG00005014672.1)
Source: RNAcentral
AAAAAAAAAAACACACAAGCUCUCGCUCUGCUCAUGGUGGAGGCUUGAACCAAAAGUAGCCAGGCCCGGCUCCGGAGCGAUAUAAAAAUAGGCUGCUUCCCCCACCCCAUCCUGUUACGCGUAACGCUGUGAGAUGGAUCCCGGAGUCUCCUCUCUGCCGCUACGAGGAAGACCAGGCGUGUAAUGCGCGCCGUAUGAUUUUCCCCAGGCAGGGCAGAGACCGCAGUCUCUGCUAAUGAGUCUCUGGGAUUUGUUCCUGCUGUGAAAGCACCGAGCACAGCCGUGGACGUCUGCAGCCCUGGGGCAGCGGAGCCCGUGCGUUGGACGGGGCUGACGGCUCGCCGUGGCAUUGCAGGAGCUUGCGUGGACUGUGCUAAGAUGGGCAACCAGCCAGCGCCGCUGCUGCUGAGCAUAUGCAGGCGGCCGGCUCCGUGUGCUCGGGAGCUCGGAGGUGAAACAGAGCAGCCUCUUCUUGAGACAGCUGCGCUCUGGCAAGGCGAGCUCGGAUCGAAAUUCGCCCCCACGCUCUCGCCUUCCCCAGGAGGAGCCAGAAUGUGGCAACCAAAUCCCAGGGCGAACCGGUGCGAAGAGGAGCGGGCUCCCGUGCGCUCUCGGACUCUGUUUUUUUUCCUCACCUGAUCCGCACCUUCCCUGACCCAGGCGUCUGGAAUCUGGGUGACUCUUCUGCUUUUCUGCUCCUUCCAGGAUCUAAAAGAGAAGAAGGAAGUUGUUGAAGAAACAGAAAAUGGCAGAGAUGCACCGGCCAACGGCAAUGCUAACGAGGAAAACGGAGAGCAGGAGGCUGACAACGAAGUAGACGAAGAGGAAGAGGAAGGUGGCGAGGAAGAGGACGAGGAGGAAGAGGGCGAGGAGGAGGACGGCGAUGAAGACGACGAAGCUGAGGGAGCCACAGGCAAACGGGCAGCUGAGGACGACGAGGUAGGCAGAGCAGCCCCGCCGAGCCCCCUGCGUCCCGAGCGGGUUUUGGGGCGGCAUCGGCGGGGUCGGAGACGCCCAGGCUGGGUGCCGGGAUCCGGAUCCUGCCCGAGCGCUUCCUGCUGUGUGCCCCUGGGGGAUGCGGCCCAGUUCCAUUUAUACGCUGGCCUGGUUAGCCAGGUGCUUGCUGUGGUGGCGUGGAGCCCUGCUCAUCCUGGGUUUGGGGCCCCAGCGCUGUGGCGUGGGACUGGGCAGGGGCGCUCCGGCCCCCGAGCCAGCUGCGAGAAGUUACCUGCCGCGGGGAACGCUUCUGGUGUUCUGCCGUGUCCCUGCAUCAGCAGAGGGACCCGAAAUCCCUCUGCCCGCCCGGGUGUUGCCCCCUCCCCUAACGGCUUCCCUUUCCCCCUCAGGACGACGACGUCGAUCCCAAGAAGCAGAAAACCGACGAAGAUGACUAGGCAGCAAAUUAUUAUUAUUUUUUUUUAAAUAAGGAGGAAAACAAACCAACAAAAAAGGCCAGCGCGUCCUCUUCACCCUUGGGACCCCCCCCCUCCUUCCUCCCCAGCCCGCCCGACGCA